This 245-nucleotide ribosomal RNA is filed under the name uncultured bacterium. RNAcentral's name for it is "partial 16S ribosomal RNA". It matches the Rfam family "Bacterial small subunit ribosomal RNA", at positions 524 to 768 of the family's 1533-position model. The record is from RNAcentral.
UACAGAGGUGCCAAGCGUUGUUCGGAUUUACUGGGCGUAAAGGGUGCGUAGGCGGUUGUGCAAGUCGGAUGUGAAAUCCCGGGGCUUAACUCCGGAACGGCAUUCGAAACUGCACGGCUCGAGAUCUGGAGAGGUGACUGGAAUUCUCGGUGUAGCAGUGAAAUGCGUAGAUAUCGAGAGGAACACCAGAGGCGAAGGCGGGUCACUGGACAGAAUCUGACGCUGAGGCACGAAAGCCAGGGGAG